Myotis brandtii (Brandt's bat) is the source of this 74-nucleotide non-coding RNA. NCBI's taxonomy places the organism in Eukaryota, Metazoa, Chordata, Mammalia, Chiroptera, Vespertilionidae. The record is from Rfam.
GGUGGUUCUCGGGUAAUGCACCCCAGAAUCAGGCUCCCUCCUCUCUGGUCCGGGUGUGUCACCUGAGAACUGCA